Molecule: ribosomal RNA, 429 nt
Filed under: Pseudomonadota bacterium
Lineage: Bacteria; Pseudomonadati; Pseudomonadota
Description: Proteobacteria bacterium partial 16S ribosomal RNA
Rfam family: Bacterial small subunit ribosomal RNA
Source: RNAcentral
UGGGGAAUAUUGGACAAUGGGCGAAAGCCUGAUCCAGCCAUGCCGCGUGUGUGAAGAAGGUCUUCGGAUUGUAAAGCACUUUAAGUUGGGAGGAAGGGCAGUAAGCGAAUACCUUGCUGUUUUGACGUUACCGACAGAAUAAGCACCGGCUAACUCUGUGCCAGCAGCCGCGGUAAUACCGAGGGUGCAAGCGUUAAUCGGAAUUACUGGGCGUAAAGCGCGCGUAGGUGGUUCGUUAAGUUGAAUGUGAAAGCCCCGGGCUCAACCUGGGAACUGCAUCCAAAACAAGCGGGCUAGAGUAGGGCAGAGGGUGGUGGAAUUUCCUGUGUAGCGGUGAAAUGCGUAGAUAUAGGAAGGAACACCAGUGGCGAAGGCGACCACCUGGGCUCAUACUGACACUGAGGUGCGAAAGCGUGGGGAGCAAACAGG